This 497-nucleotide ribosomal RNA is filed under the name uncultured bacterium. RNAcentral's name for it is "partial 16S ribosomal RNA". It matches the Rfam family "Bacterial small subunit ribosomal RNA", at positions 30 to 523 of the family's 1533-position model. The record is from RNAcentral.
AUUGAACGCUGGCGGCAUGCCUUACACAUGCAAGUCGAACGGUAACAGGUCUUCGGAUGCUGACGAGUGGCGAACGGGUGAGUAAUACAUCGGAACGUGCCUAGUAGUGGGGGAUAACUACUCGAAAGAGUGGCUAAUACCGCAUGAGAUCUACGGAUGUAAGCAGGGGAUCGCAAGACCUUGUGCUACUAGAGCGGCCGAUGGCAGAUUAGGUAGUUGGUGGGAUAAAGCUUACCAAGCCGACGAACUGUAGCUGGUCUGAGAGGACGAGCAGCCACACUGGGACUGAGACACGGCCCAGACUCCUACGGGAGGCAGCAGUGGGGAAUUUUGGACAAUGGGCGCAAGCCUGAUCCAGCAAUGCCGCGUGCAGGAUGAAGGCCUUCGGGUUGUAAACUGCUUUUGUACGGAACGAAAAGCCCUGGGUUAAUACCCUGGGGUCAUGACGGUACCGUAAGAAUAAGCACCGGCUAACUACGUGCCAGCCGCCGCGGUAA